Molecule: ribosomal RNA, 484 nt
Filed under: uncultured bacterium
Lineage: Bacteria
Description: partial 16S ribosomal RNA
Rfam family: Bacterial small subunit ribosomal RNA
Source: RNAcentral
AUUGAACGCUGGCGGCAGGCCUAACACAUGCAAGUCGAGCGGAUGAAGGGAGCUUGCUCCUGGAUUCAGCGGCGGACGGGCGAGUAAUGCCUAGGAAUCUGCCUGGUAGUGGGGGCUAACGUCCGGAAACGGGCGCUAAUACCGCAUCCGUCCUGAGGGAGAAAGGGGGGGAUCUUCGGACCUCACGCUAUCAGAUGAGCCUAGGUCGGAUUAGCUCGUUGGUGGGGUAAAGGCCUACCAAGGCGACGAUCCGUAACUGGUCUGAGAGGAUGAUCAGUCACACUGGAACUGAGACACGGUCCAGACUCCUACGGGAGGCAGCAGUGGGGAAUAUUGGACCAUGGGCGGAAGCCUGAUCCAGCCAUGCCGCGUGUGUGAAGAAGGUCUUCGGAUUGUAAAGCACUUUUAGUUGGGAGGAAGGGCAGUAAGUUAAUACCUUGCUGUUUUGACGUUACCAACAGAAUAAGCACCGGCUAACUUCGUG